RNAcentral lists this ribosomal RNA (207 nucleotides) under uncultured Mesotoga sp. Its description in RNAcentral is "partial 16S ribosomal RNA". It matches the Rfam family "Bacterial small subunit ribosomal RNA", at positions 568 to 774 of the family's 1533-position model. The record is from RNAcentral. Lineage: Bacteria; Thermotogati; Thermotogota; Thermotogae; Kosmotogales; Kosmotogaceae.
AGCGUAGGUGGCCUAACAUGUCAACUGUGAAAACCCGGAGCUCAACUCCGGACUUGCAGUCGAAACUGGUAGGCUUGAGGACGGUAGAGGAAGACGGAACUGCCAGUGUAGGGGUAAAAUCCUUAGAUAUUGGCAGGAACGCCGGUGACGAAGGUGGUUUUCUGGGCCGGUUCUGACACUGAUGCUCGAAAGCCAGGGGAGCGAACG